This 72-nucleotide transfer RNA is filed under the name Symbiodinium sp. CCMP2592. It matches the Rfam family "tRNA". Rfam says of the family: Transfer RNA (tRNA) molecules are approximately 80 nucleotides in length. The record is from Rfam by way of RNAcentral. RNAcentral also lists the same sequence under 16 other names. Lineage: Eukaryota; Dinophyceae; Suessiales; Symbiodiniaceae.
GCGGGUGUAGUUCAGUGGUAGAACGUCAGCUUCCCAAGCUGAAUGUCGUCGGUUCGAUCCCGAUCACCCGCU